Molecule: ribosomal RNA, 327 nt
Filed under: Triticum aestivum (bread wheat)
Lineage: Eukaryota; Viridiplantae; Streptophyta; Magnoliopsida; Poales; Poaceae
Description: partial small subunit ribosomal RNA
Source: RNAcentral
AUGAAGAUGGGUUUCUUUCCUACCGGUGCCAUUGUAUGUGCCUGCACGCCUCAACUAUCUUCUUUCCUGUUUACUGUCAGCAGGGGAACUAUUUGUGGAUGUAAUAUGCAGCUAAAGGUAUUCCAGCAUGAGCUUGCAUGCGCAACAACAGUGAUUAAAGUAAAGGCUUCAGGACUUGAGAGAAAUCCUUGGAACUUGAGAAGCCAAGGUAUGGUGAGAGCAGAUGAUUAUUACUUCGCUUUGGCCCAGCAUCGUCUUUACGUAUCAAUAUUAGAGCGUUGUGUUAUUCCAUCAUGUUACAUUACUAUUGCAUUCAUAUUUUUGUGA